RNAcentral lists this ribosomal RNA (511 nucleotides) under Ralstonia mannitolilytica. Its description in RNAcentral is "bacterial SSU rRNA". It matches the Rfam family "Bacterial small subunit ribosomal RNA", at positions 18 to 523 of the family's 1533-position model. The record is from RNAcentral. Lineage: Bacteria; Pseudomonadati; Pseudomonadota; Betaproteobacteria; Burkholderiales; Burkholderiaceae.
UCUGGCUCAGAUUGAACGCUGGCGGCAUGCCUUACACAUGCAAGUCGAACGGCAGCGGGGGAAAGCUUGCUUUCCUGCCGGCGAGUGGCGAACGGGUGAGUAAUACAUCGGAACGUGCCCUGUAGUGGGGGAUAACUAGUCGAAAGAUUAGCUAAUGCCGCAUACGACCUGAGGGUGAAAGUGGGGGACCGCAAGGCCUCAUGCUAUAGGAGCGGCCGAUGUCUGAUUAGCUAGUUGGUGGGGUAAAGGCCUACCAAGGCGACGAUCAGUAGCUGGUCUGAGAGGACGAUCAGCCACACUGGGACUGAGACACGGCCCAGACUCCUACGGGAGGCAGCAGUGGGGAAUUUUGGACAAUGGGGGCAACCCUGAUCCAGCAAUGCCGCGUGUGUGAAGAAGGCCUUCGGGUUGUAAAGCACUUUUGUCCGGAAAGAAAUCGCACUGGUUAAUACCUGGUGUGGAUGACGGUACCGGAAGAAUAAGGACGCUNACUCGUCCACAGCCCCGGUAC